UGCCCUUGGCGUUUUUGUAGGCUUCUCAUGAUAUAUAGUAUUUCUCUUACAACGCCGAAUUUAUGCGGUUCUAUUUGGACCCAAGAUACUAAAAUUACUCUUGGAAGUUGGCGGAGUGCUUCAAGCCUGCUUCACAUCCGCCGCGGGUAAGCCCGGUAUUGUACUAUCUCCGGGAUCGGCCCACGCAUA
Small nuclear RNA from Dermacentor albipictus, 189 nucleotides. RefSeq annotates it as U2 spliceosomal RNA. The record is from RefSeq and is a predicted model, not a curated record. NCBI's taxonomy places the organism in Eukaryota, Metazoa, Arthropoda, Arachnida, Ixodida, Ixodidae.